Molecule: ribosomal RNA, 476 nt
Filed under: uncultured bacterium
Lineage: Bacteria
Description: bacterial SSU rRNA
Rfam family: Bacterial small subunit ribosomal RNA
Source: RNAcentral
AUUGAACGCUGGCGGCAUGCCUUACACAUGCAAGUCGGACGGCAGCACGGGAGCAAUCCUGGUGGCGAGUGGCGAACGGGUGAGUAAUAUAUCGGAACGUGCCCAGUAGUGGGGGAUAGCCCGGCGAAAGCCGGAUUAAUACCGCAUACGACCUGUGGGUGAAAGCGGGGGAUCGCAAGACCUCGCGCUAUUGGAGCGGCCGAUAUCAGAUUAGCUAGUUGGUGGGGUAAAGGCCUACCAAGGCGACGAUCUGUAGCUGGUCUGAGAGGACGACCAGCCACACUGGGACUGAGACACGGCCCAGACUCCUACGGGAGGCAGCAGUGGGGAAUUUUGGACAAUGGGCGAAGGCCUGAUGGAGCAACGCCGCGUGCAGGAUGAAGGCUUUCGGGUCGUAAACUGCUUUUAUAGGUGAAGAUUAUGACGGUAACCUAUGAAUAAGGAUCGGCUAAUUACGUGCCAGCAGCCGCGGUAAU